AAGUCGUAACAAGGUUUCCGUAGGUGAACCUGCGGAAGGAUCAUUAACACGUAUCCGAACAAGUACUUCUGCGCUCCUCGGGGAAACCCGAGGUGUAGUUAAAAUUAAUACAACUGUUAACAAUGGAUAUGUUCUC
RNAcentral lists this unclassified non-coding RNA (136 nucleotides) under fungal sp. Its description in RNAcentral is "partial internal transcribed spacer region". The stretch from base 1 to 46 matches the Rfam family "Eukaryotic small subunit ribosomal RNA", at positions 1786 to 1831 of the family's 1831-position model. The record is from RNAcentral. Lineage: Eukaryota; Fungi.